GCAGAGCAUGAACCUACAGGAUCGGGUCACCGCCUUGAUGUUAGUGGAGAACGACAGGGUGUUGUCCAGGAUCACGCCAAGGUUCUUAGCACUCUGGGAGGAGGACACAAGGGAGUUGUCAACCGUGAUGGCGAGAUCAUGGAACGGGCAGUCCUUCCCCGGGAGGAAGAGCAGCUCCGUCUUGCCGAGGUUCAGCUUGAGGUGGUGAUCCGUCAUCCACACUGAUACUUAAUAGGCACAUACUAUAGAUUCUUUUUAAUUUAACCUCUUGAGAUGGGAAAACAUUUAUUUAUGAAGUUGAAUAUGUGCUCUUAAUGAUAAAAUUAGGUGGAAUCAAAAGUUACUACUCAAAGGGCACCCAAUUUGUGGAACAACCCUUUUAUUUGUUAGUGUGCUUGUGUUCAUUGCGGUUGUAUGUAUACCCUUGUUAUAGUUCACAGGCUCUGUGUGUGUCCUUAUCUGAUCCAAAUCUCUUCCUCAUAGCAAGGCAGCCUCAGGUAGCCUGCCUGGAAAGAGUCCCUUGCAGAAUAAACCUCCCAAAGAGAUCCCCUCAGAGCCCAAGGUCUCCCCAGGGACCAAGAGACCUUAGGGGGGAAGCCAAAAAAGAAAGAGUCAGGGGAGACUGAGACAGCUUUGUCAGUGGGACAGAAACCCAAUAACUCCCAAGUGCCGCAGCAUAGCCUUGAAGGUGAGUUAGAAAGAGAGCAGUGAAAGGGAGGGACCCAGUGACGGGGAGGAGUUACAGCUGACCAAUGAGGAGGACAGCGAGGCAUCUGAGGAGCCAAAGCCAUCAGGGCCAAGAAAUAGGAGGCAAGAGUUCAGCACCACAGAGAAGAAGUAGUGGAGGCAAGAAGAAAGUGAAGAGGAUGAGGAUUGGGAGGGAGAUGGGGGAGAAGGGGAUGAAGCCGGCCAGGAGGAAAGUGGGGAAGGGUGAAGAUGAGUGGUUGAAGGUCUACCUGGAGAAGAUUGUGUGUGGGUGGGGCAGCCGCCGCUGUUCUCCAAGCAGGCCACCUAGCCCAUGACCUACGUGGUAGCCGUGGACGGAAACAGUCACAUGAAGGAUCUGGGCAGCAAGUACGACCCCACCUGAAUGACCUUCACCAAAAAGUGCCAGGUGGACGAGGAGUGGUGGGAAGUGACGAAUCUGAGAGAGACAUCCAGGAGGAAACAGCUCCAGGGGAAGUUGCUGGACAAGCCGUUACCCACAUCAAUAGCAGAGUUAAAAAACCAUCCCCUGUACGCCCUGAAGAGACUACUGAGAUAUGAAGCUCUUUAACCCCCCCAGCAGCAAUCCUGGGGUACUCCAGGGGAGAGCCUGUACUCCAGGUAAGCGGCACACAUAACAGGGAUUUUUUCAUAACUGAUUUUGAAUAUAAAGAAUUAGAUAGAGGGCUGUUUAAAAUGAUAAAGUUGUUUCAAAGCAGAGUUAAUGGAAAUGUUGUUCUUUUUUUGGAGGUAAUGUAAAUGUAUUAUUGUGGUGUUCAUAGAGAUUGUGUUUGGUAUCCAAAACAAAUGUAUAUUUUUUUGGAUUGUGAAAAGUAAUGAGAAAUACAGUUGUACUUAUUUGCAUCUGGGUUAUCCACCGGGACUGUAUUCACGCACUACACUCCAAAGACACAUUGCUGAAGGAGGCACGCACCUUCCGUCUAGGAGAGAAGCCCUACAAGGUGAGCAGGGUCGUAUUCAUUAGGGCACACCGUAGCAAAACCCUCACUCACUCACUCACUCACUCAUACUCAUAUAUACACACACACACACACACACACACACACACACACACACACACACACAGAUGGUGAUAGGUUGUUCGAAUCGCUCUCGGAAGGCCAGGAUGACAUCAGAGCAGAAGGACAAAGAUGACCUGCCUCUGCUUGGUAAAUGGCAGACAGCGGAGUACCAGCCACCAGUAGCUGUAGAUGGAAGGCCCUGCACGUUGCCAGUAGGCUGUGCCCAUCUUCAACUGCCAAACCUCAAGAGUGGCUAAGAAGCUGGACAUGGACUGUGCCUCUGCUGUCGCUGGCUUUGACUUCCACCAUGGUGGCUACUUUCAUGCUGUAACGGAUGGCUACAUUGUGUGUGUGUGUGUGUGUGUGUGUGUGUGUGUGUGUGUGUGUGUGUGUGUGUGUGUGUGUGUGAGGAGCAUGAGGAGAUCCUGAGAGCAGCUUGGGUGGAGGACCAAGAGAUAUAGUAGAAAGAGAAGCAGGAAAAGAGAGCCAUGUCUAACUGGACUCUGCUGGUGAAGGCCCUGCUGAUCAGGGAGACACUCCAGCGGUGCUAUGGGAAGAAAGGCCCAACAGCCAGGGGAGGACUGGACCAACUGAAGAGCCAGAAUGGGGACAGGGUCUGUCGUCUGAAGAGGAGGGGGACGAGGAGGGUGGGCAGAACACAGCUGCUGCCACACUGGCACAGACCUGGCCCCAGGACAGUGGCACAGGGGGCCCAAACGGGAGAAAAGGGUCCCAUUUGAGAAAGUAUGUGUUCAUGUUUCCAGAGCGGAUCAGAGCCAAUAUUCACAAAGUGUUUCAGUGCUGAUCUUUAAUCUGUUUUUCCUUCUAGAUCAUAAUGAAUAAGAUUACAUGGACAGGGAGGACCAGAUCCUAAAUCAGCACUCCUACUUUAAGACACUUUAUGAAUACGGGCCCAGAAGUAGGUCAGACAGACAGGUGUCAUAACAACAUUAGUGUUCCAUGAUGCUCGGUUCUCGGUUCCUGAUGUCUUACAGGAGAUGUAGGUCAUUGUAAUCCCUGUGGACCAAGGCCUACAAAGCAGCCUGGCACAAACUCAGACCUGUACUGCUGCAGGUGGUGUAACCUCAAUGUAAACUGAUUUCCUUCAACCCCCCCCUCAUUACACUUCUAUCUUUCUAGAGAGAGAAAAAGAAGCUGCUGGUGUGUGUAUGUUUGUACGGGCACGUAAAUGGGGGAGCUCAGUUGUUUGUCUCUACUCUAUAUUGGUAGAAAUAAUGUUUCUGUAUCAAAAAUAUUUUUCAAAGAUUAUUUUAUGAAAAUAAAAAAUGUCACACAG
Molecule: long non-coding RNA, 3024 nt
Organism: Salmo salar (Atlantic salmon)
Lineage: Eukaryota; Metazoa; Chordata; Actinopteri; Salmoniformes; Salmonidae
Source: RefSeq, a predicted model, not a curated record